GCCGAUGUGGUGGAAUUGGUAGACGCACUGGAUUCAAAAUCCAGCCCUUUAGGGGGUGACGGUUCGAUUCCGUCCAUCGGUACCA
RNAcentral lists this transfer RNA (85 nucleotides) under Candidatus Vesicomyosocius endoextente. RNAcentral describes it as "tRNA-Leu". It matches the Rfam family "tRNA". Rfam says of the family: Transfer RNA (tRNA) molecules are approximately 80 nucleotides in length. The record is from RNAcentral. Lineage: Bacteria; Pseudomonadati; Pseudomonadota; Gammaproteobacteria; Pseudothioglobaceae (SeqCode).